UAACGCGAAGAACCUUACCAAGGCUUGACAUAUACGAGAACGGGCCAGAAAUGGUCAACUCUUUGGACACUCGUAAACAGGUGGUGCAUGGUUGUCGUCAGCUCGUGUCGUGAGAUGUUGGGUUAAGUCCCGCAACGAGCGCAACCCUCGUUCUAUGUUGCCAGCACGUAAUGGUGGGAACUCAUGGGAUACUGCCGGGGUCAACUCGGAGGAAGGUGGGGAUGACGUCAAAUCAUCAUGCCCCUUAUGUCUUGGGCUUCACGCAUGCUACAAUGGCCGGUACAAAGGGCUGCAAUACCGCGAGGUGGAGCGAAUCCCAAAAAGCCGGUCCCAGUUCGGAUUGAGGUCUGCAACUCGACCUCAUGAAGUCGGAGUCGCUAGUAAUCGCAGAUCAGCAACGCUGCGGAAA
This 409-nucleotide ribosomal RNA is filed under the name Microbacterium oxydans. RNAcentral's name for it is "bacterial SSU rRNA". It matches the Rfam family "Bacterial small subunit ribosomal RNA", at positions 957 to 1365 of the family's 1533-position model. Lineage: Bacteria; Bacillati; Actinomycetota; Actinomycetes; Micrococcales; Microbacteriaceae. The record is from RNAcentral.